CAGCAGCCGCGGGAAUACGUAGGUGGCAAGCGUUGUCCGGAAUUAUUGGGCGUAAAGGGCUCGCAGGCGGUUUCUUAAGUCUGAUGUGAAAGCCCCCGGAUCAACCGGGGAGGGUCAUUGGAAACUGGGAAACUUGAGUGCAGAAGAGGAGAGUGGAAUUCCACGUGUAGCGGUGAAAUGCGUAAAGAUGUGGAGGAACACCAGUGGCGAAGGUGACUCUCUGGUCUGUAACUGACGCUGAGGAGCGAAAGCGUGGGGAGCGAACAGGAUUAGAUACCCCCGUAGUCCCUGUCUCUUAUAC
RNAcentral lists this ribosomal RNA (301 nucleotides) under uncultured bacterium. Its description in RNAcentral is "partial 16S ribosomal RNA". It matches the Rfam family "Bacterial small subunit ribosomal RNA", at positions 509 to 807 of the family's 1533-position model. The record is from RNAcentral.